This 894-nucleotide long non-coding RNA is filed under the name Triticum aestivum (bread wheat). Its description in RNAcentral is "long non-coding RNA (TAES_LNC011250)". Lineage: Eukaryota; Viridiplantae; Streptophyta; Magnoliopsida; Poales; Poaceae. The record is from RNAcentral.
ACACACUAAUAGCAUAUUUUAAGGCUGGCACUAUAUUUUUCCUUCUGAUGGAAUUGUGAGGGUAUGGACAACCAACCAUAAUAUGGUUCUGCAGUGAUGAAGAAUGUGCAGCUUAUACACAGAUCUUUUUUCUCAGCACACAGUUAGCAGGUUGGUUUCUGUUGUUUCCUGAAUUUUCCGUAUUUCUGUGAAGUUUUGAGUUUUGACAUCUUCUGCUUAAAGUGACCGUUUAAAAGCAAGGAACAGCAAAGGUAUUCCAGCUAAGGGAGAGAGACAAUGCUAGCCAGAAGAUCAUUAUGAAAAAAAUGGUCUUUCAGCUUCAUUCUAUUUUGUGAGGUAUUGCUGCUACUACAUUGUGCUUCAGAUCUUGUUGGUUUUUUUUUUCAAUCGAAAGCUUCAAAUCUUGUUAUUCCAUCCAUCCAGCAAGACCAGAGUUCUCUUAUUGGUUUGUUCUUUUGAUAUAUUGCAUAAAUAUAAGUGAUAAUCUUUAGCCUAUUAGCUUGAUUGGUUAUAUAUCAAUUUACAUUACUCUGAAAGAAUGGUAGCUGAUACAACUAUAUUAGCAAUGUGCAAAACAUUACCUGUUAACUGGGAUUUUCUCUCUGUAUUGGCAGUUGCUUUAAUUGACGAUUCAUUUAAUAGCAUGCGUGAUUGAGACAAAAAUAAAAUUAGCAGCAAUACUGUGCACGGAAAUGAAACAUCUUGAUAUUCUAACCCAUGGUGGAUAGUCAUUUUAUCUGAUACAACGAAAAUCUUGAUUUGAUCAGGUGGAAGGGAAGCCUCCUUCCUGCUGGUUGGAGCUUUUCAAUGCUAUUUUGAUGCCACAACAUGAACUGCAAUUCAACAUUUAUGUACUUUUGGCAAAGACAAGUUCAUGUACUCUGUAUUUAGUCG